GGAAUCUUGCACAAUGGGGGAAACCCUGAUGCAGCGACGCCGCGUGAGCGAUGAAGCCCUUCGGGGUGUAAAGCUCUUUCGGCAGGAACGAUAAUGACGGUACCUGCAGAAGAAGCUGCGGCUAACUACGUGCCAGCAGCCGCGGUAAUACGUAGGCAGCGAGCGUUGUUCGGAAUUACUGGGCGUAAAGAGUGCGUAGGCGGUGCUCUAAGUUUGGUGUGAAAUCUCCCGGCUCAACUGGGAGGGUGCGCCGAAGACUGGAGUGCUUGAGUGUGGGAGAGGAAAGCGGAAUUCCUGGUGUAGCGGUGAAAUGCGUAGAUAUCAGGAGGAACACCGGUGGUGUAGACGGCUUUCUGGACCACUACUGACGCUGAGGCACGAAAGCGUGGGGAGC
Molecule: ribosomal RNA, 394 nt
Filed under: uncultured bacterium
Lineage: Bacteria
Description: bacterial SSU rRNA
Rfam family: Bacterial small subunit ribosomal RNA
Source: RNAcentral